GUGAGGGAAUGGUGAAAAGUACCCCGGGAGGGGAGUGAAAUAGUACCUGAAACCGUGUGCUUACAAGCCGUUGGAGCCUUUUGGGGUGACAGCGUGCCUUUUGAAGAAUGAGCCUGCGAGUUAGUGUUAUGUCGCGAGGUUAACCCGUGUGGGGUAUCCGUAGCGAAAGCGAGUCUGAAUAGGGCGUUUGAGUGGCAUGACCUAGACCCGAAGCGGAGUGAUCUAUCCAUGGCCAGGUUGAAGCGACGGUAAGACGUCGUGGAGGACCGAACCCACUUCAGUUGAAAAUGGAGGGGAUGAGCUGUGGAUAGGGGUGAAAGGCCAAUCAAACUCUGUGAUAGCUGGUUCUCCCCGAAAUGCAUUUAGGUGCAGCGUUACGUGUUUCUUGCCGGAGGUAGAGCUACUGGAUGGCCGAUGGGCCUUCACGGGUUACUGACGUCAGCUAAACUCCGAAUGCCGGUAAGUGAGAGCGUAGCAGUGAGACAGUGGGGGAUAAGCUUCAUUGUCGAGAGGGAAACAGCCCAGACCACCAACUAAGGCCCCUAAGCGUGUGCUAAGUGGGAAAGGAUGUGGAGUUGCUUAGACAACCAGGAGGUUGGCUUAGAAGCAGCCAUCCUUGAAAGAGUGCGUAAUAGCUCACUGGUCAAGUGAUUCUGCGCCGAUAAUGUAGCGGGGCUCAAGUACACCGCCGAAGUUGUGGCAAUGAUCUUUUUGGAUUGUUGGGUAGGGGAGCGUCGUGUGGCCGUUGAAGCUGCGGUGUAAACCAGUGGUGGAGGCUAUGCGAGUGAGAAUGCAGGCAUGAGUAGCGAAAGAUGAGUGAGAAACUCAUCCGCCGGAUGAUCAAGGGUUCCAGGGUCAAGUUAAUCUGCCCUGGGUUAGUCGGGGCCUAAGGCGAGGCCGACAGGCGUAGUCGAUGGAUAACGGGUUGAUAUUCCCGUACCGGUGAAGAACCGCCCAUACUGAUAUUGUGAUGCUAACCAUGCGAAGCAUGAUGUGCAGGCUUUUGUUUGUGUGUUGUGUGGGUUGUGGGACCCGAUCUUUGGAGGUAAACGUGUUAACAGGUGUGACGCAGGAAGGUAGCCAAGCCACGCGAUGGUUGUCGUGGUCUAAGCGUGUAGGGUUGUCGGUUGUUAAAUGCGCCGGCUGUGUGCCUGAGACGUGAUGGGACCCUGUUUUUGGGGGAUUUGGUGAUCCUAUGCUGCCGAGAAAAGCAUCGGCGUGAGGUUUUAGCCGCCCGUACCCUAAACCGACACAGGUGAUCAGGUAGAGAAUACUAAGGCGAUCGAGAGAAUCAUGGUUAAGGAACUCGGCAAAAUGCCCCCGUAACUUCGGGAGAAGGGGGGCCCUGAGCGUGAUCUGCCCGUGCGGUGGGGAGCGUGUAGGGGUCGCAGAGACCAGGGGGAAGCGACUGUUUAUCAAAAACACAGGUCCGUGCGAAGUCGUAAGACGAUGUAUACGGACUGACUCCUGCCCGGUGCUGGAAGGUUAAGAGGAUUGGUUAGCCUUUUUUGGCGAAGCUGAGAAUUUAAGCCCCAGUAAACGGCGGUGGUAACUAUAACCAUCCUAAGGUAGCGAAAUUCCUUGUCGGGUAAGUUCCGACCUGCACGAAUGGAGUAACGACUUCCCUACUGUCUCAACCAUGAACUCGGCGAAAUUGCAGUACGAGUAAAGAUGCUCGUUUCGCGCAGCAGGACGGAAAGACCCCGUGACCUUUACUAUAGUUUGGUAUUGGUGUUUGGUUUGGCUUGUGUAGGAUAGGUGGGAGACUGUGAAGCAUGGACGCUAGUUUGUGUGGAGUCGUUGUUGAAAUACCACUCUGGUCAAUCUGGAUGUCUAACUUCGGGCCAUGAUCUGGUUCAGGGACAGUGCCUGAUGGGUAGUUUAACUGGGGCGGUUGCCUCCUAAAGUGUAACGGAGGCGCCCAAAGGUUCCCUCAGCCUGGUUGGCAAUCAGGUGUUGAGUGUAAGUGCACAAGGGAGCUUGACUGUGAGACUGGCAGGUCGAGCAGGGACGAAAGUCGGGACUAGUGAUCCGGCGGUACGUUGUGGAACGGCCGUCGCUCAACGGAUAAAAGGUACCUCGGGGAUAACAGGCUGAUCUUGCCCAAGAGUCCAUAUCGACGGCAUGGUUUGGCACCUCGAUGUCGGCUCGUCGCAUCCUGGGGCUGGAGUCGGUCCCAAGGGUUGGGCUGUUCGCCCAUUAAAGCGGUACGCGAGCUGGGUUCAGAACGUCGUGAGACAGUUCGGUCCCUAUCCGCUGCGCGCGUUGGAAAUUUGAGAAAGGCUGUCCUUAGUACGAGAGGACCGGGACGGACGAACCUCUGGUAUGUCAGUUGUACCGCCAGGUGCAUGGCUGAUUGGCUACGUUCGGGAGGGAUAACCGCUGAAAGCAUCUAAGCGGGAAGCCUGUUUCGAGAUGAGAUUUCCUGGCACUUUGG
This 2437-nucleotide ribosomal RNA is filed under the name human oral metagenome. Its description in RNAcentral is "bacterial LSU rRNA". It matches the Rfam family "Bacterial large subunit ribosomal RNA", at positions 503 to 2825 of the family's 2925-position model. The record is from RNAcentral.